AACUCAAUUAAUAAUUGCAAAAUUUAUUCAUCACAAAGCGUCUUGUCGUAGGAAUAUAUACGUAUUUAGUAUUCGACAAUACCGAAAUAAGUUAAACGCUAUUAACCAUAAGCGAAAACCUUAUGUGUUUUCAGAAAUUUUACUGAAUUCGCGCGGGAAUCUUCGACUAGACGUAUCGUUCGAAGUCCACAUCUUGACGGUCGUCAGGCACCAUGCAUCUUCCCCUUGUCAAGCAUCGCCGAAACCGUCGUGUUUGAAACACUUUUACAUGAGCUACUUUUUUACACUUUACACUAAUGACACACUAUUGCUAAAACCACGACGCCGCGGUAGCAACGACGGUCGCUAACAACCGGACACUAUCAGGAAACCAGAAGACUCGAGGAAUCAUU
This 392-nucleotide unclassified non-coding RNA is filed under the name Bombus terrestris (buff-tailed bumblebee). RNAcentral describes it as "misc RNA ENSBTSG00005020734.1". The record is from RNAcentral. Lineage: Eukaryota; Metazoa; Arthropoda; Insecta; Hymenoptera; Apidae.